UAGAGGCAUGGGGUGGGGGGCAUCUGAUGAAUGAAACAACUGAAGGAGAACAGGACACGGGACGGGAAGGUGGACGUGCUGAAAGACAGACUGACAUAUGUCUGCCACCUAGUGCCAAGCAGGAGAGGAAGACAAAGGAAACCUUCUUUGUUUUGAAAUGAAGACGUGAGAGAAAAAUUUUAAGCUUCUGUUUAUACGCUCUGCAAGAUACAUAUUGUGGGUGUUCCAUCUUCUCUCUCACCAUGAGCCUCCCACUGAGAUUGAUUCACUGCUGCCUGGACACCAGGCCCCUUAAGGUCAUUAAAAAGUCGUUACCAUCCUGUGUGCAAAGUCUGUGCCUCUGAAAGCAGUUUUCUGGA
Long non-coding RNA from Talpa occidentalis (Iberian mole), 359 nucleotides. RefSeq lists it as uncharacterized. Lineage: Eukaryota; Metazoa; Chordata; Mammalia; Eulipotyphla; Talpidae. The transcript has 3 exons. The record is from RefSeq and is a predicted model, not a curated record.